CCUACGGGAGGCAGCAGUGGGGAAUAUUGCGCAAUGGGCGAAAGCCUGACGCAGCGACGCCGCGUGAGGGAUGAAGGUCUUCGGAUCGUAAACCUCUGUCAGCAGGGAAGAACGGUCACUGGGCUAAUCAGCAGUGAAUUGACGGUACCUGCAAAGGAAGCACCGGCUAACUCCGUGCCAGCAGCCGCGGUAAUACGGAGGAUGCGAGCGUUAACCGGAUUUAUUGGGUUAAAGGGGUGCGUAGGCGGAUUGUUAAGUAAGCGGUAAAAUCUCCGGGCUCAACCCGUGCCGGCCGUUGAAACUGGGAAGCUUGAGUGGGCGAGAAGUAGGCGGAAUGCGUGGUGUAGCGGUGAAAUGCAUAGAGAUCACGCAGAACUCCGAUUGCGAAGGCAGCAUGCCGGCGCCCGACUGACGCUGAGGCACGAAAGCGUGGGGAUCGAACAGGAUUAGAUACCCCUGUAGUC
Molecule: ribosomal RNA, 464 nt
Filed under: uncultured bacterium
Lineage: Bacteria
Description: partial 16S ribosomal RNA
Rfam family: Bacterial small subunit ribosomal RNA
Source: RNAcentral